RNAcentral lists this ribosomal RNA (437 nucleotides) under alpha proteobacterium F14. RNAcentral describes it as "bacterial SSU rRNA". It matches the Rfam family "Bacterial small subunit ribosomal RNA", at positions 41 to 528 of the family's 1533-position model. The record is from RNAcentral. Lineage: Bacteria; Pseudomonadati; Pseudomonadota; Alphaproteobacteria.
GGGCGGCUACCAUGCAGUCGAGCGCGCCCUUCGGGGUGAGCGGCGGACGGGUUAGUAACGCGUGGGAAUAUACCCUUUGGUACGGAAUAGCCUCUGGAAACGGAGAGUAAUACCGUAUGUGCCCUUCGGGGGAAAGAUUUAUCGCCAAAGGAUUAGCCCGCGUUAGAUUAGGUAGUUGGUGGGGUAAUGGCCUACCAAGCCUACGAUCUAUAGCUGGUUUUAGAGGAUGAUCAACAACACUGGGACUGAGACACAGCCCAGACUCCUACGGGAGGCAGCCGGGGGGAAUUUUGGACUUUGGGGGCGUGCCUGGUCCAUGCAUGCCGCGUGAGUCUUUAGGGCCCUAGGAACGUAAAGGUCUUUCCCGGGUCAAAAUUAUUAUCGCUGCAGAGAAACAAACCGCGAAAACAUCCCCCGCCGUGCCCGCGACAAUACGG